CUUGGUCAUUUAGAGGAAGUAAAAGUAGCAACAAGGGUUUCCGUAGGUGAACCUGCGGAAGGAUCAUU
Molecule: ribosomal RNA, 68 nt
Filed under: uncultured fungus
Lineage: Eukaryota; Fungi
Description: partial 18S ribosomal RNA
Rfam family: Eukaryotic small subunit ribosomal RNA
Source: RNAcentral